CUCGCGAUAGCUCAGUUGGUAGAGCGGAGGACUGUAGUGCGUUGUUAAAAUCUGUAAUCCUUAGGUCGGUGGUUCGAAUCCGUCUCGCGAGA
Non-coding RNA from Octopus bimaculoides (California two-spot octopus), 92 nucleotides. Lineage: Eukaryota; Metazoa; Mollusca; Cephalopoda; Octopoda; Octopodidae. The record is from Rfam.